This 250-nucleotide unclassified non-coding RNA is filed under the name Glomus sp. RNAcentral's name for it is "partial contains 5.8S ribosomal RNA and internal transcribed spacer 2". The stretch from base 1 to 65 matches the Rfam family "5.8S ribosomal RNA", at positions 84 to 154 of the family's 154-position model. The record is from RNAcentral. Lineage: Eukaryota; Fungi; Glomeromycota; Glomeromycetes; Glomerales; Glomeraceae.
GUGAAUCAUCGAAUCUUUGAACGCAAAUUGCACUCUCUUCGGAGAGUAUGCCUGUUUGAGGGUCAGCUUAAAAAAAAUCGACUUAGUCGUUGAUACGCGGUAACAUUCGUCGGAAAUUGGGUCAUCUUAAAUCUCUGGGUCUAAGCGGCCUAAAAUUUUCUUUAUGAUUUAAAGAACGUUUCUAAGAUUUUAUUUUCUUAUACGUUUAAGGUAUCGAUCUUUAUUAGACGUGGCCGUUGCAUUGGUUCUU